GAUGAACGCUGGCGGCGUGCCCAAUACAUGCAAGUCGAGCGAACGGACGAGAAGCUUGCUUCUCUGAUGUUAGCGGCGGACGGGUGAGUAACACGUGGAUAACCUACCUAUAAGACUGGGAUAACUUCGGGAAACCGGAGCUAAUACCGGAUGAUAUUUUGAACCGCAUGGUUCAAAAGUGAAAGACGGUCUUGCUGUCACUUAUAGAUGGAUCCGCGCUGCAUUAGCUAGUUGGUAAGGUAACGGCUUACCAAGGCAACGAUGCAUAGCCGACCUGAGAGGGUGAUCGGCCACACUGGAACUGAGACACGGUCCAGACUCCUACGGGAGGCAGCAGUAGGGAAUCUUCCGCAAUGGGCGAAAGCCUGACGGAGCAACACCGCGUGAGUGAUGAAGGUCUUCGGAUCGUAAAACUCUGUUAUUAGGGAAGAACAUAUGUGUAAGUAACUGUGCACAUCUUGACGGUACCUAAUCAGAAAGCCACGGCUAACUACGUG
RNAcentral lists this ribosomal RNA (497 nucleotides) under uncultured bacterium. RNAcentral describes it as "partial 16S ribosomal RNA". It matches the Rfam family "Bacterial small subunit ribosomal RNA", at positions 28 to 507 of the family's 1533-position model. The record is from RNAcentral.